RNAcentral lists this transfer RNA (105 nucleotides) under Wenzhouxiangella marina. RNAcentral describes it as "tRNA-Thr". The record is from RNAcentral. Lineage: Bacteria; Pseudomonadati; Pseudomonadota; Gammaproteobacteria; Chromatiales; Wenzhouxiangellaceae.
GUAGACGGAGCGGUAGAGCGCAUCGCGCUCGUGAGCGCAGUCGAAGCCACCUCACCCGCUAGUAUUCGAAAGGAUGUGGGAGUUCGAGUCUCCCCCUGGGCACCA